RNAcentral lists this ribosomal RNA (507 nucleotides) under uncultured bacterium. RNAcentral's name for it is "bacterial SSU rRNA". It matches the Rfam family "Bacterial small subunit ribosomal RNA", at positions 22 to 518 of the family's 1533-position model. The record is from RNAcentral.
GGUCAGGAUGAACGCUAGCUACAGGCUUAACACAUGCAAGUCGAGGGGCAGCAUUUAGUUGCUUGCAAACUGAGGAUGGCGACCGGCGCACGGGUGAGUAACACGUAUCCAACCUGCCGAUAACUCCGGAAUAGCCUUUCGAAAGAAAGAUUAAUACCGGAUAGCAUACGAAUAUCGCAUGAUAUUUUUAUUAAAGAAUUUCGGUUAUCGAUGGGGAUGCGUUCCAUUAGUUUGUUGGCGGGGUAACGGCCCACCAAGACUACGAUGGAUAGGGGUUCUGAGAGGAAGGUCCCCCACAUUGGAACUGAGACACGGUCCAAACUCCUACGGGAGGCAGCAGUGAGGAAUAUUGGUCAAUGGGCGAGAGCCUGAACCAGCCAAGUAGCGUGAAAGGAUGAAGGCUCUAUGGGUCGUAAACUUCUUUUAUAUGGGAAUAAAGUUUUCCACGUGUGGAAUUUUGUAUGUACCAUAUGAAUAAGGAUCGGCUAACUCCGUGCCAGCAGCCGC